GAUAGAAUUAGCUCAGCUGGGAGAGCAUCUGCCUUACAAGCAGAGGGUCGGCGGUUCGAACCCGUCAUUCUCCACCA
RNAcentral lists this transfer RNA (77 nucleotides) under Staphylococcus simulans. Its description in RNAcentral is "tRNA-Val". It matches the Rfam family "tRNA". From Rfam's summary of the family: Transfer RNA (tRNA) molecules are approximately 80 nucleotides in length. Their secondary structure includes four short double-helical elements and three loops (D, anti-codon, and T loops). Further hydrogen bonds mediate the characteristic L-shaped molecular structure. tRNAs have two regions of fundamental functional importance: the anti-codon, which is responsible for specific mRNA codon recognition, and the 3' end, to which the tRNAs corresponding amino acid is attached (by aminoacyl-tRNA synthetases). tRNAs cope with the degeneracy of the genetic code in two manners: having more than one tRNA (with a specific anti-codon) for a particular amino acid; and 'wobble' base-pairing, i.e. permitting non-standard base-pairing at the 3rd anti-codon position. The record is from RNAcentral. Lineage: Bacteria; Bacillati; Bacillota; Bacilli; Caryophanales; Staphylococcaceae.